ACGGGUGCGGAACACGUACGCAACCUUCCUUCAAGCGGGGCAUAGCUUUCGGAAACGAAAAUUAAUACCCCAUAGUAAUAUCUGAGGGCAUCUGAGGAUAUUUAAAGAUUUAUCACUUGAAGAUGGGCGUGCGCCUGAUUAGGUAGUUGGCGGGGUAACGGCCCACCAAGCCUACGAUCAGUACUGGUGUGAGAGCACGACCAGUCACACGGGCACUGAGACACGGGCCCGACUCCUACGGGAGGCAGCAGUAAGGAAUAUUGGUCAAUGGACGCAAGUCUGAACCAGCCAUGCCGCGUGGAGGAUGAAGGUCCUCUGGAUUGUAAACUUCUUUUAUCGGAGAAGAAACCCCCGAGUUCUCUUGGGGUUGACGGUACCCGAUGAAUAAGCACCGGCUAACUCCGUGCCAGCAGCCGCGGUAAUACGGAGGGUGCAAGCGUUAUCCGGAUUCACUGGGUUUAAAGGGAGCGUAGGUGGGCUGGUAAGUCAGUGGUGAAAUCUCCGGGCUUAACUCGGAAACUGCCGUUGAUACUAUCAGUCUUGAAUAUUGUGGAGGUAAGCGGAAUAUGUCAUGUAGCGGUG
Molecule: ribosomal RNA, 582 nt
Filed under: uncultured bacterium
Lineage: Bacteria
Description: bacterial SSU rRNA
Rfam family: Bacterial small subunit ribosomal RNA
Source: RNAcentral